GAGAGGAAGAAUAUAUGAAAAUAGAGAAAGAAAAAAAAAUCAAAAAUUUGAGAAGGAGACGAGACCUUGUCUUGAGUUUUUUUUUCCCAAAUAAUAAAAAGUUUAAGAUAUAUUAAAAGAUAUUGUAUAGAUUUUUACCAAAAAAAAGAUAUUGUAUAGAUACUCUAAAGAUUUUUAAACAAUUUUUUUAUUUAUAAAACUGUUACUUUAAAUAUAUAAUAAAUUAAGAAUUGAGAGAUAUUAAAAUUGGAAAAUUUGGUAAAUUUAUAUAUACCAUAGUGUAUUUUUCCAAAAACUUAAAUAAUGAUGUAGUUUUCAAAUUAUAAUCUUAUGUGAGUGUAUUUCUCCAAAUUUUCCCUAGAACUUUUCACCCCUCCUGUCAAUAAAUUAAUGGUUUAAAUAUUUGAUUUUAGUUAUUUAAACAAAACAAAUUAAAAUAAUAGCAUUUUAUUUUUAAUAAUUUUUUUAGAGCUUAGCGAUAAGAGCAAGGUAAGCUCU
This 498-nucleotide long non-coding RNA is filed under the name Brassica napus (rape). Its description in RNAcentral is "long non-coding RNA (BNAP_LNC017225)". The record is from RNAcentral. Lineage: Eukaryota; Viridiplantae; Streptophyta; Magnoliopsida; Brassicales; Brassicaceae.